AGCAUGCAAGUCGAGGCGUAGAAAGUCUUAGGACUUUUGAGACCGGCGAACGGGUGAGUAACACGUAGAUUAUCUGUCUCUGGAUGGGGGAUAGCCCAUGGAAACGUGGGGUAAUACCGCAUAAGCUCUCUUUUUCAUAAGGAGGAGAGAGGAAAGGCGCUUAGGGGUCGUCCGGAGAGGAGUCUGCGGUUCAUUAGUUAGUUGGUGGGGUAAAGGCCUACCAAUGCGACGAUGAAUAGCCGGCCUGAGAGGGUGAACGGCCACACUGGGACUGAGACACGGCCCAGACUCCUACGGGAGGCAGCAGCUAAGAAUCUUCCGCAAUGGGCGAAAGCCUGACGGAGCGACGCCUCGUGAACGAAGAAGGCCUAACGGUUGUAAAGUUCUUUUCUUGGGGAAGAAUAAGCCUUGCAGGGAAUGGCAGGGUGAUGACGUUAACCGAGGAAAAAGCCCCGGCUAAUUACGUGCCAGCAGCCGCGGUAACACGUAAGGGGCGAGCGUUGUUCGGAAUUAUUGGGCGUAAAGGGCGCGUAGGCGGCAUAGCAAGUCAGGUGUGAAAGAUCUCAGCUCAACUGAGGAAACGCGCUUGAAACUGCUGUGCUGGAGUCUAGGAGGGGAAGCUGGAAUUCCUAGUGUAGGGGUGAAAUCUGUAGAUAUUAGGAAGAACACCGGUGGCGAAGGCGAGCUUCUGGCCAUAGACUGACGCUGAGGCGCGAAAGCGUGGGGAGCGAACAGGAUUAGAUACCCUGGUAGUCCACGCCGUAAACGAUGUGCACUGGGUGUCGGCCCCGUGGGGUCGGUGCCGAAGCUACGCGAUAAGUGCACCGCUGGGAGUAUGCUCG
This 842-nucleotide ribosomal RNA is filed under the name uncultured organism. RNAcentral's name for it is "bacterial SSU rRNA". It matches the Rfam family "Bacterial small subunit ribosomal RNA", at positions 52 to 888 of the family's 1533-position model. The record is from RNAcentral.